This 600-nucleotide ribosomal RNA is filed under the name uncultured archaeon. Its description in RNAcentral is "bacterial SSU rRNA". It matches the Rfam family "Archaeal small subunit ribosomal RNA", at positions 71 to 668 of the family's 1478-position model. The record is from RNAcentral.
GACACCACCGGCGGACGGCUCAGUAACACGUCGGUAACCUACCCUCGGGAGGGGGAUAACCCCGGGAAACUGGGGCUAAUACCCCAUAGGCCUGAGGUACUGGAAGGUCCUCAGGCCGAAAGGGACUUAUGUCCGCCCGAGGAUGGGCCGGCGGCCGAUUAGGUAGUUGGUGGGGUAAUGGCCCACCAAGCCGAAGAUCGGUACGGGCUGUGAGAGCAGGAGCCCGGAGAUGGACACUGAGACACGGGUCCAGGCCCUACGGGGCGCAGCAGGCGCGAAACCUCCGCAAUGCGGGAAACCGCGACGGGGGGACCCCGAGUGCCGUGGCAACGCCACGGCUUUUCCGGAGUGUAAAAAGCUCCGGGAAUAAGGGCUGGGCAAGGCCGGUGGCAGCCGCCGCGGUAAUACCGGCGGCCCGAGUGGUGGCCGCUAUUAUUGGGCCUAAAGCGUCCGUAGCCGGGCCCGUAAGUCCCUGGCGAAAUCCCACGGCUCAACCGUGGGGCUUGCUGGGGAUACUGCGGGUCUUGGGACCGGGAGAGGCGGGGGGUACCCCUGGGGUAGGGGUGAAAUCCUAUAAUCCCAGGGGGACCGCCAGUGGCG